Molecule: ribosomal RNA, 426 nt
Filed under: uncultured bacterium
Lineage: Bacteria
Description: bacterial SSU rRNA
Rfam family: Bacterial small subunit ribosomal RNA
Source: RNAcentral
GUGAGGAAUUUUCCGCAAUGGGCGAAAGCCUGACGGAGCAAUGCCGCGUGAAGGAUGAAGGCCUAUGGGUUGUAAACUUCUUUUCUCAGAAAAGAAUUAUGACGGUAUCUGAGGAAUAAGCAUCGGCUAACUCUGUGCCAGCAGCCGCGGCAAGACAGAGGAUGCAAGCGUUAUCCGGAAUGAUUGGGCGUAAAGCGUCUGUAGGUUGUUUAAAAAGUAUUCUGUCAAAGAUUAGGGCUUAACCCUAGAUAGGCAGAAUAAACUUUUAAGCUAGAGUUUGGUAGAGGCAGAGGGAAUUCCCGGUGGAGCGGUGAAAUGCGUAGAUAUCGGGAGGAACACCAAAGGCGAAGGCACUCUGCUGGGCCAAUACUAACACUGAGAGACGAAAGCGAGGGGAGCAAAUGGGAUUAGAAACCCCAGUAGUCC